RNAcentral lists this ribosomal RNA (251 nucleotides) under uncultured bacterium. RNAcentral's name for it is "partial 16S ribosomal RNA". It matches the Rfam family "Bacterial small subunit ribosomal RNA", at positions 78 to 334 of the family's 1533-position model. The record is from RNAcentral.
CUUAAGAUGGCGACCGGCGCACGGGUGAGUAACACGUAUCCAACCUGCCGAUGACUCGGGGAUAGCCUUUCGAAAGAAAGAUUAAUACCCGAUGGCAUAGUUCUUCCGCAUGGUAGAACUAUUAAAGAAUUUCGGUCAUCGAUGGGGAUGCGUUCCAUUAGGUUGUUGGCGGGGUAACGGCCCACCAAGCCUUCGAUGGAUAGGGGUUCUGAGAGGAAGGUCCCCCACAUUGGAACUGAGACACGGUCCAA